RNAcentral lists this ribosomal RNA (217 nucleotides) under uncultured bacterium. RNAcentral's name for it is "partial 16S ribosomal RNA". It matches the Rfam family "Bacterial small subunit ribosomal RNA", at positions 355 to 563 of the family's 1533-position model. The record is from RNAcentral.
UAGGGAAUCUUCGGCAAUGGACGAAAGUCUGACCGAGCAACGCCGCGUGAGUGAAGAAGGUUUUCGGAUCGUAAAACUCUGUUGGUAGAGAAGAACGUUGGUGAGAGUGGAAAGCUCAUCAAGUGACGGUAACUACCCAGAAAGGGACGGCUAACUACGUGCCAGCAGCCGCGGUAAUACGUAGGUCCCGAGCGUUGUCCGGAUUUAUUGGGCGUAA